GUGGACCGGGCCCCUCUGGCGGUUUUUUCAAACCGUGAUGUCGGACCACUUC
This 52-nucleotide non-coding RNA is filed under the name Ochrobactrum quorumnocens. RNAcentral describes it as "terC RNA". It matches the Rfam family "terC RNA", at positions 6 to 58 of the family's 59-position model. Lineage: Bacteria; Pseudomonadati; Pseudomonadota; Alphaproteobacteria; Hyphomicrobiales; Brucellaceae. The record is from RNAcentral.